This 405-nucleotide ribosomal RNA is filed under the name uncultured bacterium. Its description in RNAcentral is "bacterial SSU rRNA". It matches the Rfam family "Bacterial small subunit ribosomal RNA", at positions 355 to 775 of the family's 1533-position model. The record is from RNAcentral.
UAAGGGAUCUUGCGACAAUGGGCGAAAGCCUGACGCAGCAACGCCGCGUGCGGGAUGACGGCCUUCGGAUUGUAAACCGCUUUUCGGGGGGAAGAGGAAGGACGGUACCCCCGGAAGAAGUCUCGGCUAACUACGUGCCAGCAGCCGCGGUAAAACGUAGGAGGCGAGCGUUAUCCGGAUUUACUGGGUGUAAAGCGCGUGCAGGCGGUUCUGCAAGUGGGACGUGAAAGCGCCCGGCUCAACCGGGCGAGGACGUACCGAACUGCGGGACUAGAGGCAGGUAGAGGCGUGUGGAAUUCCGGGUGUAGUGGUGAAGUGCGUAGAGAUCCGGAGGAACACCAGUGGCGAAGGCGACACGCUGGGCCUGGCCUGACGCUCAGACGCGAAAGCAUGGGGAGCGAACGG